Columba livia (rock pigeon) is the source of this 3673-nucleotide long non-coding RNA. RefSeq lists it as uncharacterized. The transcript is spliced from 5 exons. The record is from RefSeq and is a predicted model, not a curated record. Lineage: Eukaryota; Metazoa; Chordata; Aves; Columbiformes; Columbidae.
UCCUGCUGAUCACAUAUGCACUCAAUAGACUCCACGUAAGAAAUCUCAAAGCAUUAUAUACUCACAGUGGUUGGAAUGAAGACAGCUGUACAAAUGUUAACUUUUACUGUGGAUCAACACCUAUGAUGCAGAGGCGUGGAAGAAUCGGUGAAGACAAAUAUCAAGCAGUUCCUGACAUAGGACUGGUAAACAUAGAAGACAGUUUCAAGAAGCAGCAGAACUAGCAGAGAUUAUUCAAAGCCAGUGGGAAGAUGGUGACUCAACCACUUUCUUGAACAGCUUAUUCCAAAGCUUGACAAUCCUUCAUUGAAGAAAUUUUUCCUAAAUAUCCAGUCUAAAUCUCCCCUUUCUGAGAUUACUGGAAAAACUGAUUAAACAUAGCCAGAUUUAUCAACAAACUUAAAGUAUUCUUCAACAGUUGCAGGUUUUGCUUGGCACAACCAGUUCAUGCUAAGGCACAUGGAGGACAGUGAGGUGAUUUGAGACAGCCAGCACAGCUUCACCAAGGGUCUAGGCCACACAAGAGGAACUUUUGAGGUAUAGAAGAGAAACUUCUCUUGAUCUCUUAAGGACAUAAAUAGUGGUAUUCAUUAACAUCGCAUGGAUCAUUUUCCUUAGUACAGGUAUGUUAUUUUCCAGCUGGUUAUUUCUCAUAAUAACACAAAUGUUUAAUUAGCCAGGUAGAGCAAUUUUCGUGGAGAAGGGGAACAACAGUAUGGCUACUGUAUCUGAAUAAUUACCCACUGUGAUGCCUACACAUCGAAGCAAAACUGAUACAAAAGGGAAGUAGUUCAAACUGAAUUCAAGCAAAUAGUGACAGCUUUUCACUGAUACAGUUUAGGUAGAUAUUGUAAUCGCACAAAGUAGCUAGUCAGGCUUCCAGUAAACGAUUUGCACUCCAGUUUAAUCAACACAUGGGUCUUCACCCAGAUCCUAAAUUUCUGUUUCUUGAACAUUUACUGGUUAGCAUGUUUCUACAAAUCUCCAGCAGGCUAUUGUGAACAUCCUCCUGCUUUAUUCAAACAUGAUUACAAAUAAAGAAAUCACAAGAGGUUAUAAGUUUAAAACUUUUGCUUAACUGACAACUUUGAAUAGAUCUGUUUAAUCUAUUAUGAUGUAAUUGCCACACUGACUUAAAGGAAUCUGCUCUCUAUGCCUUCAACAUUUUGGGGACAAUUGGAACUAAACAUCAUUGAAUAUGAGUCACUAACGUGCCCUGGCAGCCAAAAGGUUAAUUUAUGUCCUGGGGUACAUUUAGCACAGCAUAGCUAGCGAGUUGAGGAAGCAGACUGUCCCACGCUACACUGCACGGAUGUGGCCUUACCUCAAGUACUGUGUUCAGUUUUGGGCACCUCAAUACAAAAAAGGACAUCAAACUAUUACAGUGUGUCCAGAGGAGGGUGAUCAAGAUGGUGAAAGGUGGCUGAGGUCACUUGGUUUGUUCAGCUUAGAGAAGGCUGAGGGGUGACCUCACUGCAGUCUACCACUUCCUCAAGGAGGACUGGGGAGGGAGAGGUGCUGAUCACUCUGGUGACCAGCGACAGGACACAAGAAAAUGGAAUGAAGCUUGUCGAGGGUUAAGAUUGCGGGGUGACAAUAAAACCAUGGCAGAUGUAUUGUUAACCCCCUCUCCCCCCCCCACACUUCCCCCUUCCUCUUCCCCCUUUUCACUAAGGAGAGGCGAUUGGGAGGAAAAGAAGAGAGUGAAGAGAGUUGGAAAAAAAAAUUAAAGAUGUUUUACUAAUGCUACUAAUAAGAAUCGAGAAAAUAAUACAAAAUAUACAAAACCAAUCUUGAAAGUCUCAGCGACUGCAGAGCCGGCACCUGAAGUCCUGGAUUAGACUCUGCAGCCAAUCGGAGCUGGAUUCAGUCUCUCACUAGGCCUCAGUUCGCAGGGACGACUAGCAAGGUCCUCUCCUAAUGUCGGCCAUAAGCAGCAGGGAAAAGGGCAAAAGGGAAAAGGCAAAAAGGAAAAGCACACGAGAUCCUCGUGAUCUCCCACUUUUAUAUGAAGUAUUCACGUGAAUGGAAUGUUAUACACAGUUGGUCAGUUUCUUGCUCACUUGUUUCUCGUCGCCCCUCUCGCGAGAUGUCCAUCUGUGCUUAUCAAUAAGUUUGCAUUCCAUUGCUAGGUUUACCAAAACAUGUGUCUGGUUCUCCAGGAAAAUGCAGUUAAUAUGAAGGCUUUAGCUGACAGGCAAAUUCACUGAAAGAGAUACUUGUUUUUAACAAAACCAGGACAAAGCUGCAUCAGUGGAAGUUCAGACUGCAUAUUAGCAAAAGUUUCUUCACUGAGAGGGUGGUCAGACAGUGGCACAGCCUCCCCAGGGAAGCACCAAGCCUGACAGUGUUAAAGGAGUGUCUCGAUGGAGCUCUUAGUCAGAUGGUCUAGUUUUAGGCAGUCUUAUACGGAGCAGGGAGCUGGGCGCAAUGAUCCUUAUGAGUCUCUUCCAACUUGAUAUAUUCCACGAUUCUGCAAUUGAGUUCUGCAGGAAGUGCUAUACAAUAAUCAAGGUUUCCAUCUGAUCUUAAUUCCAACAGAACAAGGCAAAUUAGUGUUUACUAUACCUUCUUUAUUCAUAUCAGGUGCUUUCUGAAAUACUUCAAAACCAAACAUCAAACCAUUAAGCUAUAUUUUAAACUCAAGAAUAACCACACACUAAAAUAGUUCGGUGACUAUAUUUACACUUAAAGAGAUCCCAGAAAAUUAAAAAAAAAAAAACAGGCUUUUCAGUCUGCCAUUUUCUGGCCUUUCUGUAUUUUCAAUUUUCCCUUCAAAACAAGUCUUUCCUUGAAUGAAAUUAUCAAAAACAGUGGCACCAUCAAGGCUUGCACCAAGCUAAUCCACCAAUUAAGAGUACAGCAAUAUCUAGGUUCUCAUUUCUGAAGUGAUCAGCUCUAUGUGCUGAGAUCAACAGGUUAAUUUAUACACUUUAUUUGGAAAUGAAUUUUGGAUAAAUAUGCAUAUAUUUCUGGUAGUCUGCAAAAUACAGCAAGAGAAAAAAAUAAAGCACAAUUUAUGCACUUUUCUGUAAAACAACAUUUCAUUUUUCAUGCUACGUUACUAUAGUCAGAAAGGAAACUGAUAGGAUACACACUGAAGAUAAUUCUUUAUUGUGCUAACAUCCUUUUAAAGCCACCGCAGCAAUGCUCAUCUUCCUUGCAUCUUGAGAUCAAUUUCAUGCUCAUCUUAGAUACACUCUUUCUGCAAGAACAGUAUCUAGCUGGCAUAUUUUUAAAGGUUUGCUAGAACUUUAAUUUAAAUGACACAUUCUCAGAGGGUUUGGCCUUGCUGCUUAAAACCAGCAGAGAAAUCCCUACUCAGCUCUGUCAUCUGGCUGAAUUAAAUAUGGAAACUUUCCUAUGUUUCUAAAACUUAACCAAGUACACAAAGACUAAAAGGGAAGGAUCAGAAUGUUUAAAUUAAUUAGGAAGGGUUACCAAAACAUUAAUCUCAUUUUAUUGGACUAACAUUUAGCUAAGACUUGGAAACCUUAAGCAAAAUGAAAAACCAUCAUCAUCAUAAAUAUAAAAACAAGUACACUGAACAACCAUAUUUUUCCAUAUUUCUUACUUACAAAGCACUAUGUGAUUCAAUUACUUUUUGAACAACAACAACAAAAAAAACCAAAAUCAAACCAAAAAAAAACUCCACCAAAAAAUGCCAACGACA